This 539-nucleotide ribosomal RNA is filed under the name uncultured archaeon. Its description in RNAcentral is "bacterial SSU rRNA". It matches the Rfam family "Archaeal small subunit ribosomal RNA", at positions 460 to 997 of the family's 1478-position model. The record is from RNAcentral.
AGCCGCCGCGGGAACACCGGCGGCCCGAGUGGUGAUCGUGAUUAUUGGGUCUAAAGGGUCCGUAGCCGGUUUGGUCAGUCCUCCGGGAAAUCUGAUAGCUCAACUAUUAGGCUUUCGGGGGAUACUGCCAGACUUGGAACCGGGAGAGGUAAGAGGUACUACAGGGGUAGGAGUGAAAUCUUGUAAUCCCUGUGGGACCACCUGUGGCGAAGGCGUCUUACCAGAACGGGUUCGACGGUGAGGGACGAAAGCUGGGGGCACGAACCGGAUUAGAUACCCGGGUAGUCCCAGCCGUAAACGAUGCUCGCUAGGUGUCAGGCAUGGCGCGACCGUGUCUGGUGCCGCAGGGAAGCCGUGAAGCGAGCCACCUGGGAAGUACGGCCGCAAGGCUGAAACUUAAAGGAAUUGGCGGGGGAGCACAACAACGGGUGGAAGCCUGCGGUUUAAUUGGACUCAACGCCGGACAACUCACCGGGGGCGACAGCAAUAUGUAGGCCAAGCUGAAGACUUUGCCUGAAUCGCUGAGAAGAGGUGCAUGG